UNUGUGUGCGCACUACUGCUUAUAUAUAUG
Molecule: non-coding RNA, 30 nt
Filed under: Rattus norvegicus (Norway rat)
Lineage: Eukaryota; Metazoa; Chordata; Mammalia; Rodentia; Muridae
Source: RNAcentral